Non-coding RNA from Mycena albidolilacea, 100 nucleotides. Lineage: Eukaryota; Fungi; Basidiomycota; Agaricomycetes; Agaricales; Mycenaceae. The record is from the annotation of a GenBank genome assembly.
GGUUCGUUGGUGUAGUUGGUUAUCACAUCUGUCUCACAUUUUCGGCUGUAAUUGUCAAAAUGUACACAGGAGGUCCUGAGUUCGAUCCUCAGUCGAACCA